Molecule: long non-coding RNA, 1182 nt
Organism: Hirundo rustica (Barn swallow)
Lineage: Eukaryota; Metazoa; Chordata; Aves; Passeriformes; Hirundinidae
Exons: 5
Source: RefSeq, a predicted model, not a curated record
GAUUUGAAAUGCCUUUGUCUAAUAAGUUAUGGAGACUGGGUGUGAUAAACAUUAACUAUUUUUUGUUCACUGGAGAUCAAAUAACUCAAGAUAACAGGAAGUUACUAUGUUACUAUCUAAGCUUAUAGGCAAACAUACCCUUGCCCAUUCCUUUUUUCUCUCUCUACUUGCUUAAUCAGCUUUAAGUUUCAGGAAUUCCUGCUUAGUUACCAUAUAAGGAAGAGGACAACUACAGCCUUCAUCUUUGCGACCACCGAGAGACAGAAAGAGACCCUCCCAGCAACACGUCGCACAUACAUCAUCGGAGGAAAGAAGCAAGAUAAAAGCAAGACUGAAAAACCUGCCAAUUCACGGCAGUUGGCGGAGCGAGACUCCCCCUGUCGUCCAGCGCUGUAUUUGCCUUUGCUUUGCCUGCUGCAAUGUAAUAAAUUCCUGUUGGAACUUUUCUUCGUGUUCAUAGUCUAUUACAGGAGGAGGAAGAGACCCAGAGUAUGUGGCAGAUUGUCUGCUGGCAACAAAGAAGUUGGAAAAUGACAUCCGUGGCCACCCACCGAAGGCCUGGAUAUAAUCGAGAGAGAGCAAAGCCUCUGUACUUUCUGCUCCAUUGAGGAACCCGAAGGGAGAAAGCUGUAAGCGCCACGGAGGUGAAGCUGGAUGUCAGCGUUGAAGGUGACGUGUGCCCGGUGAGCCGUGACCGCUAGCCAGAAGCCGUUGCUGUUGCUGAAGUCUGACUCGGUGGUGCCACUCUAAGCCUCGGCGAUGGUGUGUUUUAAGGAAAGGCUGUGUACUUUGCACGAGAGUGCCUGGUGUCUCCCCCCUCCAAAAGCACCAAGGCCCAGCAUCACUUGUGAUGUGUAGAAGAGCGUCAGAAGACAAAACCUCCCUCACCCCAGGGACUAACUAGAAGAGGAGAGUACCUACCUUUGCCAUCGGGUGGGUUUCAGGAGAGUGAACAGAGGAUGCAAGAGGAGCCAAGUGUGCUUUGAGAGUUUCCUUCUGUUUUGUGUCCCAAGCUUUUUUUCCCAUUCCUUUAGGAGGUGUUAAUAAAAUUAUUCUUUUUCCACAUGGACCUUCCCUUCACGGUAAGUGCUCAGAGUGCCAUUUAUUUCCUCUACAACCACCGCAUUCACUGUUGUUUGUACCCUGUUAUUGGAAUGAAGUGUUCCCACUGUGUCGUGCCAU